Molecule: ribosomal RNA, 164 nt
Filed under: Alopecurus lanatus
Lineage: Eukaryota; Viridiplantae; Streptophyta; Magnoliopsida; Poales; Poaceae
Description: 5.8S ribosomal RNA
Rfam family: 5.8S ribosomal RNA
About the family: 5.8S ribosomal RNA (5.8S rRNA) is a component of the large subunit of the eukaryotic ribosome.
Source: RNAcentral
CACACGACUCUCGGCAACGGAUAUCUCGGCUCUCGCAUCGAUGAAGAACGUAGCGAAAUGCGAUACCUGGUGUGAAUUGCAGAAUCCCGCGAACCAUCGAGUCUUUGAACGCAAGUUGCGCCCGAGGCCACCUGGCCGAGGGCACGCCUGCCUGGGCGUCACNC